This 372-nucleotide long non-coding RNA is filed under the name Homo sapiens (human). RNAcentral's name for it is "HSALNT0051206". Lineage: Eukaryota; Metazoa; Chordata; Mammalia; Primates; Hominidae. The record is from RNAcentral.
GACACAGUGAAUGUGUUGUCUCUAGGGCCUGACUUGACAGGAUAAAAGGUCUCAAAAUUGUGCUGUUUGUUAUCAGAAGGGAGGGUCUGCGGCUGCUGAGCCUUGUGGGAGAUGAAGAAGGGAAGUCACUUGCUUCAUGGCCAGGGAAGGGCUCCAGCAAGACAUGGGCUCCUGAAAGUGACAGUGUGUGAAGGCCCGGAGAGGCACAGGACCUGCUGGAGGAUGCCAAAGUAAACUUGGUGGCCACAUGUCAAAGACGGAGAUGCACAAAAUGGGAGGAACCUAGAUCCCUGAAUGACUUUGUGGAGCUGAGCCCCUAGGCCACCCUGCAUUGGAUGUGAAAUGAGUGAGAAAUAAACCUUUGGAGUUUCA